This 1481-nucleotide ribosomal RNA is filed under the name metagenome. Its description in RNAcentral is "bacterial SSU rRNA". It matches the Rfam family "Bacterial small subunit ribosomal RNA". The record is from RNAcentral.
AGAGUUUGAUUCUGGCUCAGGAUGAGCGCUAGCGGCAGGCCUAAUACAUGCAAGUCGAGGGGCAGCAGGGGUAGCAAUACUCGCUGGCGACCGGCGCACGGGUGCGUAACACGUAUGCAACUUUCCUUCAACUGGAAGAUAGCCCGAAGAAAUUCGGAUUAAUAUUCCAUAGUUAUAUGAAAUGGCAUCAUUUUAUAUUUAAAGCUCAGGCGGUUGAGGAUGGGCAUGCGUUCGAUUAGCUAGUUGGUGGGGUAAUGGCUCACCAAGGCUACGAUCGAUAGGGGAUCUGAGAGGAUUAACCCCCACACUGGUACUGAGACACGGACCAGACUCCUACGGGAGGCAGCAGUAAGGAAUAUUGGACAAUGGAGGCAACUCUGAUCCAGCCAUGCCGCGUGAAGGAUGAAGGUCCUAUGGAUUGUAAACUUCUUUUGAACGGGAGAAAACCUUCGGUCGUGUACCGAAGCUGAUAGUACCGUUAGAAUAAGGGUCGGCUAACUUCGUGCCAGCAGCCGCGGUAAUACGAAGGACCCGAGCGUUAUCCGGAUUUAUUGGGUUUAAAGGGUGCGUAGGCGGAAUGGUAAGUCAGUGGUGAAAUCUUGUGGCUUAACUGCAAAACUGCCAUUGAUACUGCCAAUCUUGAGUACAUUUGAUGUGGGCGGAAUGUGCCAUGUAGUGGUGAAAUACUUAGAUUUGGCACAGAACACCGAUCGCGAAGGCAGCUCACAAAACUGUUACUGACGCUGAGGCACGAAAGCGUGGGGAUCAAACAGGAUUAGAUACCCUGGUAGUCCACGCCUUAAACUAUGAUUACUCGAUGUGUGCGAUACACAGUACGCGUCUAAGCGAAAGCGUUAAGUAAUCCACCUGGGGAGUACGGUCGCAAGAUUGAAACUCAAAGAAAUUGACGGGGGCCCGCACAAGCGGAGGAGCAUGUGGUUUAAUUCGAUGAUACGCGAGGAACCUUACCUGGGCUUGAAAGUUAGUGAAUGCUGUGGAAACAUGGCAGGCCGCAAGGACACGAAACUAGGUGCUGCAUGGCUGUCGUCAGCUCGUGCCGUGAGGUGUUGGGUUAAGUCCCGCAACGAGCGCAACCCCUAUCUUUAGUUGCCAGCGAGUAAUGUCGGGGACUCUAAGAAACUGCCCGUGCAAACGGUGAGGAAGGUGGGGAUGACGUCAAGUCAGCACGGCCCUUACGUCCAGGGCUACACACGUGCUACAAUGGCGAGUACAAAGGGCAGCUACAUGGUGACAUGAUGCUAAUCUCUAAAACUCGUCUCAGUUCGGAUUGAAGUCUGCAAUUCGACUUCAUGAAGCUGGAUUCGCUAGUAAUCGAAUAUCAGCAAUGAUUCGGUGAAUACGUUCCCGGGCCUUGUACACACCGCCCGUCAAACAAUGGAAGCUGAGGGUACUUAAAGUCGAUAACCGCAAGGAGUCGCCUAGGGUAAAAUCGGUAACUGGUGUUAAGUCGAAACGAGGUA